UAGGGAUAACACACAAAAAUCUAAAGAAGAUAAUAUCCUUUCAAAAACCAUUCUGUCUUACAGAGCUUUAUGAGAGCUUUAUUUUAAAACAAACCUCAAGUAAAAUGACCAAUGUAUUGCAAAGUUAUGGCCGAUUUAAGUUAUCCGGAAAAGGGCAAAAAUCUGCCGGAAAUCAUCAAAAUUGCCCUAAAAGGCAAAAAAACGGCUUUUUGGGCAAUUUCAAGGAUCUGUUAUAUCACAAAUAUGAAUAUAUAAUAUCUAAAAACACUUGUCCAUAGCUACAGCACUUGUGUUCUAGGGAAUCUGCUCAAAUGGGAUCAUCAGAGUAAGUCGCCGCCAUAUUACAGUCUCCGGAACGGGACCAAUUAUUCAAAAUCACUCAUCCGCAACAUGGGCUUGUCCAUUAAUUGGCACGGAGUCACUACCAAGGGGAUCAGAUCGAGAAAGUGGAACUUGAAACCAACAAUGAACUGACGACCUGAUGGGAAAAAGAUGAGGCCAUUCAAGGCAUAUUCAUAAAUUUCCUGAUAAGUUUUGAAGGUCUGGUAGUUGAACACAUUGGACAUACAAUUUAAAACUAGCGGCAUAUGUCUAUCUUAUCUCAUGUACACUGAGAUUUGUUUCAAGCAUCAAAAUAAUAUUCCAGAUAUAUGCUAUUUUAUGUUCAGACUUUUACUAAGACUAUGCCCAGUAUAUAUUUGCAGACCUGUAUAUUUGUACAAACUGUAAUGUAAUUGUAAACUUAGUUCACAAGGUGGAAUGUUGCAUUAGAUUGAAAGACAUUCAUACCAAAACUUUAAAAGCGAGUCUGUUGGUAUGACAAGUAAUAUUGCAAAUGCCAAGCUUGUUAUUAUUAUUAUUGUGUACAUAAAAAUGAAAAGAGAAUGAAAUAACAUAUAUUUGUAGUAGAUCAACUCAAAUCUUUCCAAAAUGGAAAGUAAAGUGGUAUGACUUUGGACACAAUAGAAAACAAGUAUUAUUUCAUUUAAUAAUAGCGCUUCAUACAUUGGUAUCUAGGCACUAUAAAUGUAACUAUUAUUAUCAUUAUUAAAUGAAACAUUUUUUCUGUUGUGUCCAAAGUCACCCCAGUUUACGGUACAUUUGUACACAUACCUCUUCGCCUGCCACAUCUCCAGAUAAUCAUCCUCCAAUUCUUUUUCCAGAAGAUAUUUGUACAAGUCCUUAGCAUUGUCACACAUGUACAUAAAGGUGUGAAAUGUACAUGUAUAUCAUUUGUCCAAAUAAAGUUCAUUUGAUCCAUC
Lytechinus variegatus (green sea urchin) is the source of this 1262-nucleotide long non-coding RNA. RefSeq lists it as uncharacterized. The transcript has 2 exons. Lineage: Eukaryota; Metazoa; Echinodermata; Echinoidea; Temnopleuroida; Toxopneustidae. The record is from RefSeq and is a predicted model, not a curated record.